Molecule: long non-coding RNA, 234 nt
Organism: Neogale vison (American mink)
Lineage: Eukaryota; Metazoa; Chordata; Mammalia; Carnivora; Mustelidae
Exons: 3
Source: RefSeq, a predicted model, not a curated record
GGGAGAGCAAAAGUCAGGAACAACCUAUGUCAUCAUCUUCGUGACAUCACUUCCCACCUCAUGUAUUUGAGGGAAGAAAGAAGUCUUUUGAUAAUCUUCUUAAGCACCUCAGAAAAGACCAUUUCCUGUCAGGGAAGACAGCAAGAAUGGGAGAGCAAGACAUGAAGGAGAUUCCACACCCAUCAUGGAACCUAGUGUGGGGCUUGAAUUCAUGAGCCUGAGAUCAAGAGUUGG